This 253-nucleotide ribosomal RNA is filed under the name uncultured bacterium. Its description in RNAcentral is "partial 16S ribosomal RNA". It matches the Rfam family "Bacterial small subunit ribosomal RNA", at positions 524 to 776 of the family's 1533-position model. The record is from RNAcentral.
UACGGAGGGUCCAAGCGUUAUCCGGAAUCAUUGGGCUUAAAGGGUCCGUAGGCGGUUUUGUAAGUCAGUGGUGAAAGCCCAUCGCUCAACGGUGGAACGGCCAUUGAUACUGCAAGACUUGAAUUAUUGUGAAGUAACUAGAAUAUGUAGUGUAGCGGUGAAAUGCUUAGAGAUUACAUGGAAUACCAAUUGCGAAGGCAGGUUACUAACAAUAUAUUGACGCUGAUGGACGAAAGCGUGGGUAGCGAACAGG